AGUAAAUUGGUUAAGUUAGAAAGGGCGCACGGUGGAUGCCUUGGCACUAGGAGCCGAAGAAGGACGGGACUAACACCGAUAUGCUUUGGGGAGCUGUACGUAAGCGUUGAUCCAGAGAUUUCCGAAUGGGGGAACCCACUAUCUUUAGUCGGAUAGUAUCCUUACGUGAAUACAUAGCGUGAGGAAGGCAGACCCAGGGAACUGAAACAUCUAAGUACCUGGAGGAAGAGAAAGAAAAAUCGAUUUCCUGAGUAGCGGCGAGCGAAACGGAAAGAGCCCAAACCAAGAAGCUUGCUUCUUGGGGUUGUAGGACACUCUAUACGGAGUUACAAAAGAAAGUUAUAAAUGAAGCGGUCUGGAAAGGCCCGCCAAAGACGGUAACAGCCCGGUAGUUGAAAUAGCUUUCCCUCCAGAGUGGAUCCUGAGUACGGCGGAA
This 436-nucleotide ribosomal RNA is filed under the name Listeria monocytogenes. RNAcentral's name for it is "partial 23S ribosomal RNA". It matches the Rfam family "Bacterial large subunit ribosomal RNA", at positions 1 to 422 of the family's 2925-position model. Lineage: Bacteria; Bacillati; Bacillota; Bacilli; Caryophanales; Listeriaceae. The record is from RNAcentral.